AGGCACCCNGCGGUUGUAACCUGAUUGAAUACUCAGCUNACUUGAGAAUGCANUGGUACUGCCAGUCUGAAUCACNGAGGGGAAACCGGAAUUCCAAGUGUAGGGUGGAAUCUGUAGAUAUUUGGAAGAACACCGGUGGCGAAGGCGGGUUUCUGGCCGAUGAUUGACGCUGAGGUGCGAAGGUGUGGGGAGCAAACAGGAUUAGAUACCCUGGUAGUCCACACAGUAAAC
This 231-nucleotide ribosomal RNA is filed under the name uncultured bacterium. RNAcentral's name for it is "partial 16S ribosomal RNA". It matches the Rfam family "Bacterial small subunit ribosomal RNA", at positions 566 to 807 of the family's 1533-position model. The record is from RNAcentral.